GGAGAAGAAGGCUGCUCAAGAGGCAGAGACCAGCAGCCAAGAAAGAGUAUCUGAGUCCACCUGGUGGCCAGAGGAUGGCAUAAAGGAAGUCCCUAAAGGCAGGCGGCAGAGGGGCUGCCAGCCUCAGCUGGUAACUUCUACAGCGAAAACCGCAGCACGCAGCGACUGAUCUUCUCAUGCUUUUCUAUCCCAUGCAUGGCCCUCUCCUUAUUGGGAUCAGAGAAAGUCCUUUAUGAAGGGAAAGUUGAAGAUCAACUGAGGGGCACCGGAUGCUCCCAAAGCCACAGCGUCACUUGCAGAAGAUCCAGGAGAAGCAGAAACUGCCAUACCUCCACCAGGUGCAAUGGGAGCUAGUGGCAAAGAGCCCCAUGCAGACGAAUGGGCCCAGAACCUCUGGGGAUGCAGACCCUGUUAAAAAAAAAUGACUGUGGAAUCUCCCUCCAGGAAAACACACAGCACAUGGAUGCCAUUCCAGGAAACCACAACUCUACACUUCAGAGACCACGUACUGUACGGAGCCCAGCCCCAACGGAUACAUCUGUAUCAUUGCUCCUGCAUCUAUGGCUCUGGGAAGACCAAGGGGGAAGACGCGGAAAGAUUGUAAGGGCCAGAAUACCAGGAAGUCUACGAUGCAACAGUCUCUCCUAGAAACAGCAGCUUUAACAAAGAAGAAGAGGAAAAAAAAGCAAUAGCAAUGGACAUGUCAGUGUGAG
Molecule: long non-coding RNA, 713 nt
Organism: Alexandromys fortis (reed vole)
Lineage: Eukaryota; Metazoa; Chordata; Mammalia; Rodentia; Cricetidae
Exons: 3
Source: RefSeq, a predicted model, not a curated record